RNAcentral lists this ribosomal RNA (1818 nucleotides) under Lepisosteus oculatus (spotted gar). RNAcentral describes it as "bacterial LSU rRNA". It matches the Rfam family "Bacterial large subunit ribosomal RNA", at positions 1218 to 2910 of the family's 2925-position model. Lineage: Eukaryota; Metazoa; Chordata; Actinopteri; Semionotiformes; Lepisosteidae. The record is from RNAcentral.
GCUGUGGGUGGUAGGGGAGCGUCCUGCACCGGGGGAAGCCUGUGGGUGACUGCUGGUGGACGGUGCGGGAGUGAGAAUGCAGGCAUGAGUAGCGAUACUAGGGUGAGAAGCCCUAGCGCCGAAUGACUAAGGGUUCCUGGGUCAGGUUCGUCUUCCCUGGGUGAGUCGGGACCUAAGGCGAGGCCGACAGGCGUAGUCGAUGGAUGACGGGUUGAUAUUCCCGUACCCGUGUGCGUGCGACAAGUGAUGAAUCUUAUGGUACUAACCGCCCGCCUACGUGCACUGGUCUUUUUGGUUGGUGUGUGUGGGUGCGUGGGAUCUUCGUGGGUAGUAGUCAAGUGAUGGGGUGACGCAGAGUGGUAGCUAGGCUUCCUUAUUGGAUUGGAGUGCAAGCGUGUGGCCUGUGGGGUUGGGAAAUCCGCCCCGCGUAUAAGGGUGAGGCGUGAUGCGGACACCAUGAGUGUGGUGGUAGUUAGUGUGCCUGUGCUGCCGAGAAAAGCCUCUAGCGAGUGCGUGCAUGGCCCGUACCGGAAACCGACACAGGUGGUCAGGUAGAGAAUACUAAGGCGUUCGGGUGAACUGUGGUUAAGGAACUCGGCAAAAUGCCCCCGUAACUUCGGGAGAAGGGGGACCAUUACUGGUUGCUGACAGCAUGAUGGCUGGUGGUGGUCGCAGAGGAGAGAGGGAAGCGACUGUUUAUUAAAAACACAGGUCCGUGCGAAAACGUGGAAGUUGAGGUAUACGGACUGACGCCUGCCCGGUGCUGGAAGGUUAAGAGGACCCGUGAGCACGCCUUUGUGGUGUGCGAGGCGGAGAAUUGAAGCCCCAGUAAACGGCGGUGGUAACUAUAACCAUCCUAAGGUAGCGAAAUUCCUUGUCGGGUAAGUUCCGACCUGCACGAAUGGCGUAACGACUUCCCCGCUGUCUCAACCAUGAGCUCGGCGAAAUUGCAGUACGAGUAAAGAUGCUCGUUUCGCGCAGAAGGACGGAAAGACCCCGGGACCUUUACUACAGCUUGGUAUUGGCGCCCGCUAUAGCUUGUGCAGGAUAGGUGGGAGACUGUGAAGCCGUUACGCCAGUGGCGGUGGAGUCGUCCUUGAAAUACCACUCUGGUUAUGGCGUGCGCCUGAACCUGGGCCCGUGAUCCGGGUUAGGGACAGUGCCUGGUGGGUAGUUUAACUGGGGCGGUUGCCUCCUAAAGUGUAACGGAGGCGCUCAAAGGUUCCCUCAGCCUGGUCGGCAACCAGGUGUUGAGUGCAAGUGCACAAGGGAGCUUGACUGUGAGACCGACGGGUCGAGCAGGUACGAAAGUAGGAACUAGUGAUCCGGCGAUCCCGUGUGGGUGGGUCGUCGCUCAACGGAUAAAAGGUACCCCGGGGAUAACAGGCUGAUCCUGCCCAAGAGUCCAUAUCGACGGGGUGGUUUGGCACCUCGAUGUCGGCUCGUCGCAUCCUGGGGCUGUAGUUGGUCCCAAGGGUUGGGCUGUUCGCCCAUUAAAGCGGUACGCGAGCUGGGUUCAGAACGUCGUGAGACAGUUCGGUCCCUAUCCGUCGCGGGCGUAGGAAAUUUGAGAGGAUCUGCUCCUAGUACGAGAGGACCAGAGUGGACUUACCGCUGGUGUACCAGUUGUCUUGCCAAAGGCAUCGCUGGGUAGCUAUGUAGGGAAGGGAUAAACGCUGAAAGCAUCUAAGUGUGAAACCCACCUCAAGAUGAGAUUUCCCAUGAUUUUAUAUCAGUAAGAGCCCUGAGAGAUGAUCAGGUAGAUAGGUUAGAAGUGGAAGUGUGGCGACACAUGUAGCGGACUAAUACUAAUAGCUC